This is a non-coding RNA of Lonchura striata (white-rumped munia), 46 nucleotides long. The record is from Rfam. Lineage: Eukaryota; Metazoa; Chordata; Aves; Passeriformes; Estrildidae.
GCACAGGUUUUCUUCAGAACCAUCCAGAUUUUGAAGUGAAAAAUGU